CAGCAGCCGCGGGAAAACGAAGGGUGCAAGCGUUACUCGGAAUUACUGGGCGUAAAGCGUGCGUAGGUGGUGGUUUAAGUCCGUUGUGAAAGCCCUGGGCUCAACCUGGGAAUUGCAGUGGAUACUGGGUCACUAGAGUGUGGUAGAGGAUAGUGGAAUUUCCGGUGUAGCAGUGAAAUGCGUAGAGAUCGGAAGGAACAUCUGUGGCGAAGGCGACUAUCUGGGCCAACACUGACGCUGAGGUGCGAAAGCGUGGGGAGCAAACAGGAUUAGAUACCCCCGUAGUCCCUGUCUCUUAUAC
Molecule: ribosomal RNA, 301 nt
Filed under: uncultured bacterium
Lineage: Bacteria
Description: partial 16S ribosomal RNA
Rfam family: Bacterial small subunit ribosomal RNA
Source: RNAcentral